Patella vulgata (common limpet) is the source of this 1043-nucleotide long non-coding RNA. RefSeq lists it as uncharacterized. Lineage: Eukaryota; Metazoa; Mollusca; Gastropoda; Patellidae. The record is from RefSeq and is a predicted model, not a curated record. The transcript is spliced from 5 exons.
AGACCCGUUAUUCGUUAUUACUCGUGCAAGGCAGAGUAGUGGGCUUUAUAUAAAUAGAAGUCUGUGUUUUCCCAAUAUGCGUGUACUAUGGCAGAAAACAUGAUUAAAUGUCAUCUAGAUGCAAACCGAUGAUAAUACUUCUACCAAACAGCCGCUACAUUCCUGGUGCUUAUUGCCAUCAUCGAUACAGCCACAGUCAGCCCAAGAUAUUCUAGAGUGGCUAGACAUUUGUGGAAAUACAGUAGACAGAACGGUAUCAAUAACUACUGACUGAAGGGAUUGUUGCAAUAUUAUAAUACAUCAUGGCUAGUAAAGGGUAUAUUGCUGUGACGUCUGUGCAUCUUCUCGCACUAAUCUUCCAGGUCGUUGGGUUUGUCACACCAUAUUGGCAGUACGAAGAAAAUGGUAAAUACUUUGGUCUCUUUAGGAAGUGUACUUUGACUGGCGACUCUUAUAUUUGUACAAACGUCGAUCUUGCUGCAAGUGAAGGUUGGGUUAAGGUUGCAGUAAGUUUAGAAGGGCUAACUAUUUUAUUUCAAGUUUUAGCACUAUUAACUUUGAUUGCCUUCCAAUAUCGAAAUGAAUCGAGGUUUCACGCUACAGUAGCUGUUGUCUUCUUAACGAUGGCCGGUGUAAUAGGUCUGAGCGGUGUGACUAUAUAUGGGUAUCAAGCGGACACAACACGAGCAAAAAUAUAUUGGUCAUUUGCAUUUGAAGUGUUAGCAAGUGUUUUAAAUCUUAUAGUUGCCGUGUUUUUCAGUCUGAUAGUGUUCAGGCAAACCGGAUAUGUGCCAAUAAACGAAUAAGGAUAAUAAAAUGUAAGCAAUGAUAAUAUAAUGUAAAUAAGGAUAAUGCAAUAAUUGAACUUUAACAGUGUAUAUAAUUAUGUGAAUAAAAAUAAUGCACAUAAGUAUAGUGUACAUAUGAAGAAAUUCCCAUUUACGGUAACAAGUGUAUUGUAAAAAUAGUACUGGAGAAUAAGUGUAAAUACGCAGUCAUAGAGAUGAAUAAAUGGGGUUUAACGUCCUACUUUUCUACAUCGA